GGAAAAAGAACAGAAAAGGAACAGAAGCAGAAGUAGUGAGAACACGGGGAACAAAGAAAAGCAGAGAGGAGAGCAGAGGCAGAAGGAAUAGGAGAGAGGAGACUGAAGAAAAGAGGAGAAAAGCUGCACAGAUGCAGAAGAAAAAGGAGCGUAGAUACAGGGAAGAAGUGAAAGCAGACGAGGAAUACGGAUGCAGAAGAAAGAGGAGUGAGGAAAUAGAAAAAAAGCAGGAGUGCAGAUGGAGAAGAAAGGAGUGAGGAUACAGAAAAAAGAGAACUGAAGACACAGGGAUGAUAUAACAGCAGAUGAGAAGUGCAGAUGCAAUAGAAAGAGGAGUGAGUAAGCAGGGAAAAAGAACAGGGGAAGAAGAGCGUGAAAGCAGAGGAAGGAACAGUGAGGAUACAGGGAAGAAUGAAGAGUGGAAAAGGAGUUCAGAUGCAGAAGAAAGAGGAGUGAGGAAGCAGGAAAGAAAGGAAAGCAGAAGAGGGCAGAUGCAGAAUAAAGAGGAGAGAGGAGACGGAAUAAAGAUCAGAAAAGGGGGGGGGGAAUGCAGAAGAAAGAAGUGAGGAUAGAGUGAAGAAAGAGCAGAAGAAGAAAGCAGAUGUAGAUGAAAGAGGCAAGGAGACGGAAGAAAGAACAGCACAGGAGGAGAGCAGAAGAAUAUAAGAGGAAUGCAAGUGCACAAGAAAAAGCAGUGAGGAUACAGAAGAAAGAACAGCAGAUGUGGAGUGCGUAUGCAGAAGUGGAGUGAGGAAACAAGGAAGACAACAGCAGAAGCAGAGCAGCUGUAGAAGAAAGGAGUGAGGAUACGGGGAAGAAGGAAGAGCAGAAGAGGAAAAGACGUGGAAGAAAGGGCAGUAAGAAUACGGGGAUGAUAGGACAGUAGCACCAGUGCCCAGAUGAAGAAAAGAGAGGGAUGAUAGAACAGCAGAUGAGAAGUGCAGAUGCAGAAGGGUGAGUGAUUAUACAGAAAAGAAAGAAGAGCAGAACAGGGCAGACAAAAAAGUAGUGAGUAGACAGGGAAGAAAGAAGAGCAGAAAAGGAGUUCAGAUGCAGACAAAAGAGGAGGGAGGAAGCAGGGAAGAAAGGAAAGACGAGGAGUGCAGAUGAAGAAUAAAGAGCAGUGAGGAAAUGGAAGGAAAAAGCAGCAGAAGAGGAGUGCAAAUGCAGAAAAAGGAGCAGGGAGGAAGCAUGGAAAAAAGAACAGAAGAGUGCAGAGGCUAUGACCUAGUUGCCAUUACAGAAACAUGGUGGGACCACUGCCAUGAGUGGAGUGCUGCAAUGGAUGGCUACAAACUCUUCAGGAAGGAUAGGCAAGGAAGGAGGGGCGGUGGCGUGGCUCUCUAUGUUAAAGAGUGCUUUGAGGUUACUGAACUUAUGACUGGGGAUAAUAAGGUUGAAUCCUUAUGGAUUAAGAUCAGGGGAAGAGCCGACAAGGCAGACAUCCUGGUGGGCAUCUGUUACAGACCGCCAAACCAGGAUGAAGAGACAGAUGAGUUGUUGUAUGAGCAGCUGGCGGAAGCUGCGCGAUCGCCGGCCCUUGUCCUCAUGGGGGACUUCAACUUCCCCGACAUAUGCUGGGAAUACAAUUUAGCACAGAAGAAGCAGUCUAGGAGGUUUCUGGAAUGUAUGGAGGACAACUUCUUGAUGCAGAUGAUAAGAGAAGCUAUGAGAGGAGCUGCCCCGUUAGACCUGCUGUUCACAAACAGAAAAGGUCUGGUGGGAGAUGUAGAAGUUGGGGGCUGUCUUGGGCAGAGUGACCACGACAUGGUAGAGUUCUCGAUUGUUGCUGGAGUCAGGAGGGGGAACAGCAAAACUGCUACCUUGGACUUCCGGAGGGCAGACUUUGAAUUGUUCAGGAGACUAGUA
This is a long non-coding RNA of Gallus gallus (chicken), 1869 nucleotides long. The record is from Ensembl. Lineage: Eukaryota; Metazoa; Chordata; Aves; Galliformes; Phasianidae.